UGGCUGCAGUAGGUUCAUUGUAGGAAAAGGGUGCGCACUUAGAUGUAAUCUAUCUCUCUUGGUAGAUAGGGGUGUUAGUCCUAUGUGAUUUAUGAGACCGAGUUUAGAAGACCUUGGCCAGGGCAGAAUAAAUAUCGGAAAAGGGUUUCCGAUAUUAGAAACUCGAGUCGAAUAAAUUUAACAUAUGACAGACGAUGGGGUUUGACGAGUUAUUCCAUAACCUCCGUCU
Molecule: long non-coding RNA, 229 nt
Filed under: Ananas comosus (pineapple)
Lineage: Eukaryota; Viridiplantae; Streptophyta; Magnoliopsida; Poales; Bromeliaceae
Description: long non-coding RNA (ACOM_LNC040044)
Source: RNAcentral